This 495-nucleotide ribosomal RNA is filed under the name uncultured bacterium. RNAcentral's name for it is "partial 16S ribosomal RNA". It matches the Rfam family "Bacterial small subunit ribosomal RNA", at positions 28 to 507 of the family's 1533-position model. The record is from RNAcentral.
GACGAACGCUGGCGGCGUGCCUAAUACAUGCAAGUAGAACGCUUAAGGAGGAGCUUGCUUCUCCGGAUGAGUUGCGAACGGGUGAGUAACGCGUAGGUAACCUGCCUGGUAGCGGGGGAUAACUAUUGGAAACGAUAGCUAAUACCGCAUAAGAGUAGAUGUCGCAUGACAUUUGCUUAAAAGGUGCAACUGCACCACUACCAGAUGGACCUGCGUUGUAUUAGCUAGUUGGUGAGGUAACGGCUCACCAAGGCAACGAUACAUAGCCGACCUGAGAGGGUGAGCGGCCACACUGGGACUGAGACACGGCCCAGACUCCUACGGGAGGCAGCAGUAGGGAAUCUUCGGCAAUGGACGGAAGUCUGACCGAGCAACGCCGAGUGAGUGAAGAAGGUUUUCGGAUCGUAAAGCUCUGUUGUAAGAGAAGAAAGAGUGUGAGAGUGGAAAGUUCACACUGUGACGGUAUCUUACCAGAAAGGGACGGCUAACUACGUG